GUAGGUGGCAAGCGUUGUCCGGAAUUAUUGGGCGUAAAGCGCGCGCAGGUGGUUCUUUAAGUCUGAUGUGAAAGCCCCCGGGCUCAACCGGGGAGGGUCAUUGGAAACUGGGGAACUUGAGUGCAGGAGAGGAAAGUGGAAUUCCACAUGUAGCGGUGAAAUGCGUAGAUAUGUGGAGGAACACCAGUGGCGAAGGGGACUUUCUGGCCUGUAACUGACACUGAGGCGCGAAAGCGUGGGGAGCAAACAGGAUUAGAUACCCUGGUAGUCCACGCCGUAAACGAUGAGUGCUAAGUGUUGGGGGGGUUUCCGCCCCUCAGUGCUGCAGCUAACGCAUUAAGCACUCCGCCUGGGGAGUACGGUCGCAAAGACUG
RNAcentral lists this ribosomal RNA (374 nucleotides) under uncultured organism. RNAcentral describes it as "partial 16S ribosomal RNA". It matches the Rfam family "Bacterial small subunit ribosomal RNA", at positions 527 to 896 of the family's 1533-position model. The record is from RNAcentral.